RNAcentral lists this ribosomal RNA (253 nucleotides) under uncultured bacterium. RNAcentral's name for it is "partial 16S ribosomal RNA". It matches the Rfam family "Bacterial small subunit ribosomal RNA", at positions 524 to 776 of the family's 1533-position model. The record is from RNAcentral.
UACGGAGGAUCCGAGCGUUAUCCGGAUUUAUUGGGUUUAAAGGGAGCGUAGGCGGGUUGUUAAGUCAGUUGUGAAAGUUUGCGGCUCAACCGUAAAAUUGCAGUUGAUACUGGCAUCCUUGAGUACAGUAGAGGUAGGCGGAAUUCGUGGUGUAGCGGUGAAAUGCUUAGAUGUCACGAAGAACUCCGAUUGCGAAGGCAGCCUGCUGGACUGUAACUGACGCUGAUGCUCGAAAGUGUGGGUAUCAAACAGG